This is a long non-coding RNA of Loxodonta africana (African savanna elephant), 2082 nucleotides long. RefSeq lists it as uncharacterized. NCBI's taxonomy places the organism in Eukaryota, Metazoa, Chordata, Mammalia, Proboscidea, Elephantidae. The transcript is spliced from 3 exons. The record is from RefSeq and is a predicted model, not a curated record.
GUAAAAUCAACUAAGAGUGUAUGCUGCUGCUUGCUUGCUCUGUGACCUUGGCACACCACCUUCCCUCAGUUUCUUCUUUUGAAAAGUUUAAAGAGUUGAGUCAGAAGGUUUGUAAGAUCCAUUCUGACCCUGAGUCCAUCAUUUAUGACCUGUGAAUCCUUAUUUAUUCUAUUUUGUGGUCUACUGCAGCGCUGAACCACGUGAUCAGUGAUGCCACCUUGGAAAGGUUUCGAGUGCUAUUGGUGCAGCAGCUUUUGGACAGAGUAAAGAGGGGAUUAUGGUAACAAAAUACAACAUGAAGAAAAUGCAAGACCUUCUUUAAGGAACUGAAAACUCCUUAUUUUGUGGUGCUGUCUGGCCUGUUCCGACUCAUAGCAACUCGUAGUACAAUAGAGCGAAGCACUGCCUGGUCCUGUGCCAUCAUCACAACCGUUGCUGUGUUCGAGCCCAUUGUUGCAGCCACUGUGCCAAUCCAUCUCGUCAAGGGUCUUCCUCUUUUUCAUUCGACUAUAGUAAGUUUCGUUUCUGGAAUAUAGGAGGCGGAAUUCUCAGGGCCAUGCUGGUGCAGCUUAUUUUGGAAGUAAGAGUCAAAAAAAAAAAAUUUUUUUUUUCCUUACAGGGUCAGUGGGGGUGUUGCUGAGGAGGAAAGGGAGGUGCCCACGAGUGUAAUGUCAAGCAACGGUUCCCUUAACAACGCCUGCAGAUGGAUGCAUUUCCGUGCAGCCUGGUUCUCUGUUCCUUUUCUGUUGCUGAAGAGGAACAAUGAGGGAGUGAGGGAUCCGCAGUGAUGUUUAUCUUUCCAGCUCUGGACUUUCAAAAUGCUGGAAUCCCCCGGGGUUGGAGAAGGGUGGGUGUAGUCAUUUCCCACCAUUGCCCUAGGGUGGGAGAUGCAGCAACUCUGCUGGGGGUGGGGUGGGGGCUUAAUUUCCUCCCAAAUCGGAAAUUUAUCUCCUGAAUGGGAGGCUGCAGAGAGUCAUCAAGGACUUAUCUCCUGAAGCAGACGACCAGAAAGGAGCCCUGCCCAGUCCUUCACCCCAAAGAGGACUUGUUUGCCAGAGGAGGGAGAGAGAGAGAGAGAGUCAGGAGCCGAGGACCAGCGAGAAGGAGAGCUGCCACUACGGUUUGUGUGUCAAUGAAGAAUUCUUCCUGCUGGGCUCUUCCCACACUGGCCCUCACAGGAUGCUGGCAGCCCCUCCCAGGACACGGUGCAGUUGGAACUGGGAGAGCCCAGGUCACGUCUAUAAUUGAGAACAAAGGGGAAUUUUGGUCCUUUCCUCGGAAUGAGUCCAAAACUCUGGGACGAACAUCUUAGCUCAUAUAAAUUAUGCUCUGGGGCUUCCAAAAGCUCAACAAAUAGCCCAAUCUGGAGUUGAGUUCUUACCACACACAGGACAUCACAACAGGAAGGAAGUCCCGCCCCUUUUUCACAGAUGAGGAGACUGAGGGCCAGAGAUGCCAAAUAUAUAUGAAAUCAAGCUUAUUCAUGUAUUAUUUUAAAUUUCUAAGUCCUUAUUUUUAAAAAUCUAUUUGAUUUGACAUAAAGGAAUGCAAUUCUCCCUCACCUACUCUCUUCCUCUUCAUGUAUGCCAUAUUGCUAACAGUUGUGCGGUAUUAAAUCUAAAGGAAGUGUUUUAUUACAUCAAGCUUAUUAAUAUAUCUUGUUAAUCGGUCAGUUUGUCGUACUGUGUUGGCUUGAGUGUUGCUAUGAUGCUCUAGAAGCUAUGUCACUGGCAUUGCAGCAAUCAGCAGGGUCACCCAUAGUGGACAGGUUUCAAUGGUGCUUCCAGACUAAGACAAAGAAGAAAGGCCUGGAAAUCUACUUCUGAAAAUUAGUCAAUGAAAACUCUGUGGGUCACAAUAGAAUAGUGUCUGAUAUAGCACUGGAAGAUGAGCCCCCUAAGUUGGAAGGUACUCAAAAUACACAGUGUCUGCAACAGUGGACUCAAAUCAUGAAGAUGGCGUAGGACCAGGCACCGUUUUGUUGUUGUUCCUGGUAUCGCCAUGAUCCAGAGCUGGCUUGACAGCCACGAACAACAACCAGGAAGUGUAUUAAUAUGUUAAACACUGGAAGAGCCAUGCCAG